GCUUGUCUCAAAGAUUAAGCCAUGCAUGUCUUAGUGUAAAUAACUCUUAUGAAACUGCGAAUGGCUCAUUAAAUCAGUUAUCAAAUACGUGAUGGUCGCCUACUACAUGGAUAACCGUAGUAAUUCUAGAGCUAAUACAUGCGUCAAGCCCCGACUCACGAAGGGGUGUAUUUAUUAGAUUCAAACCGGCCUCGUUCUGGUGAUUCAUAAUAAUUGGUCGAACCGCAUGCCCUUGUGGUGGCGGUGAUUCAUCCUUAUUUCUGCCCUAUCAACUUGGCUACCACAUCCAAGGAAGGCAGCAGG
This 303-nucleotide ribosomal RNA is filed under the name uncultured fungus. RNAcentral's name for it is "partial small subunit ribosomal RNA". It matches the Rfam family "Eukaryotic small subunit ribosomal RNA", at positions 30 to 350 of the family's 1831-position model. Lineage: Eukaryota; Fungi. The record is from RNAcentral.